This 303-nucleotide ribosomal RNA is filed under the name uncultured Pelotomaculum sp. RNAcentral describes it as "bacterial SSU rRNA". It matches the Rfam family "Bacterial small subunit ribosomal RNA", at positions 1077 to 1382 of the family's 1533-position model. The record is from RNAcentral. Lineage: Bacteria; Bacillati; Bacillota; Clostridia; Eubacteriales; Desulfotomaculaceae.
GGGUUAAGUCCCGCAACGAGCGCAACCCCUACGUUUAGUUGCUAACGCGUGAAGGCGAGCACUCUAGACGAACUGCCGUUGACAAACGGAGGAAGUGGGAUGACGUCAAAUCAUCAUGCCCCUUAUGUUCUGGGCUACACACGUGCUACAAUGGCCGGUACAGACGGACGCAAAGCCGCGAGGUGGAGCAAAUCCUAAAAAGCCGGUCUCAGUUCGGAUUGCAGGCUGCAAUUCGCCUGCAUGAAGUCGGAAUCGCUAGUAAUCGCAGGUCAGCAUACUGCGGUGAAUACGUUCCCGGGCCUU